Molecule: small nuclear RNA, 117 nt
Organism: Cannabis sativa
Lineage: Eukaryota; Viridiplantae; Streptophyta; Magnoliopsida; Rosales; Cannabaceae
Product: U5 spliceosomal RNA
Exons: 1
Source: RefSeq, a predicted model, not a curated record
AUGCAUGCGGUGAGCACAGUGCGAACUAUUCUUUCGCCUUUUACUAAAGAAUACCGCGUGUUCUUCGUCUAUAAUGGCAUACGCUUAAUUUUAGAGAAGUUUCUAUGAAAGGAACUU